CGACCUCUGAUCGGAAAAGAAAACCCGCCGAGUUAAAGCAUAUCACUAAGCGGAGGAAAAGAAACUAACGAGGAUUUCCCUA
RNAcentral lists this ribosomal RNA (82 nucleotides) under Mniodendron comosum. RNAcentral's name for it is "partial 26S ribosomal RNA". It matches the Rfam family "Eukaryotic large subunit ribosomal RNA", at positions 1 to 82 of the family's 3401-position model. Lineage: Eukaryota; Viridiplantae; Streptophyta; Bryopsida; Hypnodendrales; Spiridentaceae. The record is from RNAcentral.